GCCGCGGUAGCUCAGUGGUAGAGCAUGCGACUGAAAAUCGCAGGGUCGGUGGUUCAAUUCCACUCCGCGGCA
RNAcentral lists this transfer RNA (72 nucleotides) under bacterium. Its description in RNAcentral is "tRNA-Phe". It matches the Rfam family "tRNA". From Rfam's summary of the family: Transfer RNA (tRNA) molecules are approximately 80 nucleotides in length. Their secondary structure includes four short double-helical elements and three loops (D, anti-codon, and T loops). The record is from RNAcentral.